This 466-nucleotide ribosomal RNA is filed under the name uncultured bacterium. Its description in RNAcentral is "bacterial SSU rRNA". It matches the Rfam family "Bacterial small subunit ribosomal RNA", at positions 28 to 498 of the family's 1533-position model. The record is from RNAcentral.
GAUGAACGCUAGCGGGAGGCCUAAUACAUGCAAGUCGAGCGGUAACUUUCUUCGGGAAGCUAGAGCGGCGCACGGGUGAGUAACGCGUACAUGACCUGCCUUUAAGACCGGGAUAGCCCUGGGAAACUGGGAUUAAUACCGGAUGUGAUAAUAGAUAUAAAGAUUUAUUAUUAAAGUUACGGCGCUUAGAGAUGGAUGUGCGUCUGAUUAGCUAGUUGGUAGGGUAACGGCCUACCAAGGCUACGAUCAGUAGGGGCGUGAGAGCGUGGCCCCCCACACGGGUACUGAGACACGGACCCGACUCCUACGGGAGGCAGCAGUAAGGAAUAUUGGUCAAUGGACGAAAGUCUGAACCAGCCAUCCCGCGUGCAGGAUGACGGCCCUAUGGGUUGUAAACUGCUUUUGUACCAGAGAAAACCUACUCACGUGUGAGUAGCUGAUAGUAUGGUAAGAAUAAGCAUCGGCU